Molecule: ribosomal RNA, 490 nt
Filed under: uncultured bacterium
Lineage: Bacteria
Description: bacterial SSU rRNA
Rfam family: Bacterial small subunit ribosomal RNA
Source: RNAcentral
GACGAACGCUGGCGGCGUGGAUUAGGCAUGCAAGUCGAACGGUAUCAUCCUUUCGGGGGUGAGAGAGUGGCGAACGGGUGAGUAACACGUAGGUGAUCUACCCUCAAGAUUGGGACAACCCAGGGAAACUUGGGCUAAUACCGGAUGAAAGCAGCAGUGAUGUUGUUUGAAAGGUGGCGUAAGCUGCCAUUUGGGGAUGAGCCUGCGCUCUAUUAGUUAGUUGGCGGGGUAAAGGCCCACCAAGGCGAUGAUAGAUAGGCGGCCUUAACGGGUGGUCGCCCACACUGGGAUUGAGAUACGGCCCAGACUCCUACGGGAGGCAGCAGUCGAGAAUAGGUCUACAAUGGCCGAAAGGCUGAUAGUGCGACGCCGCGUGAACGAAGAAGCCCUUCGGGGUGUAAAGUUCUUUUAUAUGUGAGCAGUGCUUUCUAUGUGAACAGCAUGGGGAAGAGAUAUUAGCAUAUGAAUAAGCAACGGCUAACUCCGUGCC